RNAcentral lists this long non-coding RNA (3727 nucleotides) under Equus caballus (horse). RNAcentral describes it as "lncRNA (ENSECAG00000031361.3)". The record is from RNAcentral. Lineage: Eukaryota; Metazoa; Chordata; Mammalia; Perissodactyla; Equidae.
CCUGACUGUUUUCCUCACUGGCACUUGCUGUUCAAAGUAAAAAGUUCAAUGUGAUCUUCCUCUUUCUGUUUAGAAGACAGCAACCUCAGUGAAGCUUGUCCUGAGAAUCCACGAAAGGAUACCAUGUUUCUAGAAGAUAGCAGAGCAACAAAAUGGAAGGAGAGAUUGAUAAAAGAAGCCUCCCGGAUCUCAGCGCUAAGAGAGACCCCUCCAGCUGCAAUUUUUCCCACAGUGGAGAGAGCUAUGUGAACAUCUGCCACCUCAGCUUUCGGGGCACUGCUUCAGAGGCCUGCUUCUGCAUCACCUGACCCAUAACACUGAAGGAGCGGCACAAUUAGAUCUUCUGGGGGCAGGUAAGAACAGAGCAAAGAGGUGGGUAUUCAUAGCAACUGGCACAUGGAUCUCAACAACCAACCUGUAGACCCUGGUGGCCAGUCCCCACAAAUACAUAUACACCCAACAUCAGAGCACUUAAAUAUGUAAAGUAAACAUUGACAGAGAAAUAGACAGCAAUACAGUAAUAAUAGGUGAGCUCAGUAUCCCAAUUUCAAUAAUAGAUAGAACAUCCAGACAGAAACAUCAAUAAAGAAACAGCAGACUUGGAAAACACUAUGGACCAAUUGGACCUAACAGACAUAUACAAAACAUUCCAUCCAAAAGGAGCAAAAUAUACAUUCUUCUCAAGUAUAUAUGGAAUGCUCCACAGGAGAGAUCACAUGCUAGGUCACAAAAAAGUCUCAAUACAUUUGUAAAAAGUGAAAUCAUCCAAAGCAUCUUUUUCAACCACAAUGGAAUCAAAGUAGAAAUCAAUAACAUAAAGAACAUAAAGAAACUCACAAAUGCAUAAAAAUUUAAUGACACACUCUUGAAGAAACACUGAAUAAAAGAAGAAAUCAAAAAGGAAAUUAGAAAAUAACACAAAUGAAAAUAAAAAUGCAAUAUACCAAAACUUAUGGGAUGCAGCAAAAGCAGCACUAAGAGAAAAAUUUAUAACGAUAAAUGCUACAUUAAAAAAGAAAAAAGAUCACAAACAUACAAGUAGUAGAUAAAUAAGUCCUGGAGACUUAAUGCACAAUAUAGUGAAUAUAGACAAUAUCAUAUUAUAAUAAACUUGCUAAGAGACUAGAUCUUAAUUGUUCCUACCACCAAAGAAAGAUAAGUAUGUGACAUGAUAAAAGUGCUAACUAACACGACAAUGGCAAUCAUAACGCCAUAUGUAAAUAUAUUGAAUCAACAUGUUGUAUACUUUAAUCUUAUACAACGUUGUAUAUAAAAUAUACUUCAGUUAAAAAAAAAGAAGGAUCUCAAAUAAUCUAACUUUACACCUCAAGAAAGUAGAAAAAGAAAAAACAAAGUCCAAAGUUAGGAGAAGGAAAAAAAUAAGCAUUAGGACUGAAAUAAAUCAAUUGGAGAAUUGAAAAACAAUAGAAAACAAUGAUGAAACUAGAAGUUGGCGUUUUUUUUGCAAAGAUGAGCAAAAUUGACAAACCCUUAGCUAGACUACCUAAGAACAAAAGAGAGAAGACUCAAAUAGAUUGUCAGAAAUGAAAGAAGACACCUUGUAAUCAAUGCGACAUAAAUGAAAAAGACCAUAAGAAACUAUUAUGCACAAUCAUACACCAACAAAUUGGACAACAUAGAAGAAAUGGAUAAAUUCCAAGAAACAUAUAACCUACUAAAACUGAGUCAAAAAGAAAUAGAGGCUUCUUCUAUCUUGCCUGAUAUCCCCUGGGCCUUACCGUUAUCUGCAACAAGUUGGCAGAAGCAUAAGGAGAAUAUAAAGAAGGUUACCCCACUUCUUAAAAGCCCUGACCUAGAAGGAAAGAUGUCAUUUACGCUUAUAUUCCCUUGCUGAGAACCAGCCACAUGGUCACACUUACAGGCAAGCGUAGCUGUAUUCACAAUAGCCAAUAUAUGGAAACAAGCUAAAUGUCCAUCAAUGGAUGAAUGGAUAAAGAAGGGUAGUGUAUAUAUAUAUAUAUAUAUAUAUAUAUAUACAUAUGCACAAUGGAAUAUUAUUCAGCAAUGGGAAAGAAGGAAAUCCAGCCAUUUUAGGCAACAUGGAUGGACCUUGAAGGCUUUAUGCUAAGUGAAAUAAGUUAGACAGAGAAAUACAAAUACCAAGUAUGAUAUUACUUAUAUGUGGAAUCUAAAAAAGCUAUACUUAUGGAUACAGAGACUAGAAUGGUGGUUCCUAGGGGCUGGGAGGCAGGGGAAAUGAGGAGAUGUUGGUCAAAGAGUACAAACUUCCAGUUAUGAGAUGAAUAAGUUCUGGGAUCUAAUGUACAGUGUGGGGAUAGUAGAUAAUAAUACUGUAUUAUAUACUUGAAAGUUGCUAAGAGAGUAAAUCUUAAAUGUUCUCACCACAAAAAAGAAAUGUAAUUAUAUGAUGACGUGAUGGAGUUGUUAACUAAUGCUAUGGUGGAAAUCAAUUUGCAAUAUAUGAGUGUAUCAAAUCAACACGUUGCAUAUGUUAAACUUACACAAUGUCAUAUGUCAAUUCUAUCUCAGUAAAGCUGGAACAAAACAAAAUGAUAAGGCCACCCACAGAAUGUCAUAAAAUAUUUGCAAACUCUGUAUCUGUUAAGGGGUUAACAUCUUUAAUAGCAUUUAGAGGACUCCUAAAACUCAACAACAACAGCAAAGCAAGCUGAUUUAAAAAUGGGCAAAGACUUGAAUAGACAUUUUGCCACAGAAGAUGUAUAAAUGGCUAAUAAGCACAUGAAAAGUUGCUCAAUAUCACUUAUGUUAAGAAAUUCAGAUCCAAACCACAAUAAUAUACCACUUCAUAUCCAUUAGGAUGGUUACUAUCAAAAAAGCAGAAAACAGCAAGUGUUGAUAAGGAUGUGAGAAACUGGAACCCUUGCACCCUGUUAAUGGGAAUGUAAAAUGGUACAGCUGCUGUCAAAAACAGUAUAGCAGUCCCUCCAAAAAAUUACAAAUAGCAUUAUUUUACAAUACAGAAAUUCCACUUCUGGGUAUAAUAUCAAAAGAAUUGAAAGCAGAAACUUGAAAAUAUAUUUGUACACCCAUGUUCACAGCAGCAUUAUUUGAAAUAGCCAAUAAGUGAAAGCAACCCAAAUGUCCACUGAUGGAUGAGUGGAUAACAAAUUGUGAUAUAUACAUACAAUCUAAUAUUAUUUAACCUUAGAAAGGAAGGAAAUUCUGACGCAUGCUACAAUGAUCCUUAGAGACAUUAUGUUAAGUGAAAUAAGCCAGUCACAAAAGCACAAAUAUUGUAUGAUUCUACUUAAACCUAGAGUAGUCAAAUUAUAGAGAUGGAAGAAUGUUGGUUGCCAGGGACAAAAGGUGAAAGAAAUGGGGAGCGACUUUUGAAUGAGUACAGAAUUUCAGUUUUGCAAGAUGAAAAGAGUUCUGUGGAUGGAUAGUGGUGAUGGCUGCACAACAGUGUGAAUGUACUUAAUGUCACUGAACUGUACACUUAAAAAUGGCUAACCUGCAGGGCUGGCCCCGUGGCCGAGUGGUUAAGUUCGCGCACUCCGCUGCAGGCGGCCCAGUGUUUCGUUGGUUCGAAUCCUGGGCGCGGACAUGGCACUGCUCAUCAGACCACGCUGAGGCGGCGUCCCACGUGCCACAACUAGAAGAACCCACAACGAAAAAUACACAACUGUGUACUGGGGGGCUUUGGGGAGAAAAAGAAAAAAUUAAAUCUUUAAAAAAAAAAAAAUGGCUAACCUGGCAAAUUGUCGGUUAUGUGUAAUUUACC